This 433-nucleotide ribosomal RNA is filed under the name uncultured bacterium. RNAcentral describes it as "partial 16S ribosomal RNA". It matches the Rfam family "Bacterial small subunit ribosomal RNA", at positions 29 to 507 of the family's 1533-position model. The record is from RNAcentral.
AACGAACGCUGGCGGCAUGCCUAACACAUGCAAGUCGAACGAGACCUUCGGGUCUAGUGGCGCACGGGUGCGUAACGCGUGGGAACCUGCCCUUAGGUUCGGAAUAACUCCCCGAAAGGGGUGCUAAUACCGGAUAAUGUCUUCGGACCAAGGAUUUAUCGCGUUUGGAUGGGCCCGCGUUGGAUUAGCUAGUUGGUAGGGUAAAAGCCUACCAAGGCGACGAUCCAUAGCUGGUCUGAGAGGAUGAGCAGCCACACUGGGACUGAGACACGGCCGAGACUCCUACGGGAGGCAGCAGUGGGGAAUAUUGGAAAAUGGGCGAAAGCCUGAUCCAGCAAUGCCGCGUGAGUGAUGAAGGCCUUAGGGUUGUAAAGCUCUUUUACCCGGGAUGAUAAUGACAGUACCGGGAGAAUAAGCUCCGGCUAACUCCGUG